CUGGGAUUCAGGCAAACAGAGUGCUAGUAGGAUUUUGCUAAAAAUUAAUGAUAUAAUGCCAGGAAGUAAUUUUACCAAUGUGGUUCACAGUGAGUAAAAUUUCUUAGCAAAGAUUCCUCUGGUUCUAAAGACCACUGACCACAAUCUGGCCCAUCAAGUGGUCCGAAGCGUGGCACAGAGUAUUGAGCCUUUGUGACAUCUUCCGUUAGUUGUGACAUCUGGAGCUCUCCCAUUGAACUCGAAGGCACACAGAACAUUGAAAAGAAUGAUAAUGAGAGAGACAACUACGAAUGGCUGUCGAGUCACAGAAGAAGUCAUGUGGAGUCAUGCUGAGGAGAAAUUCGAUGGACAUCAUAGGACACCCCCCCCAAAUGCCCAAGAUUGCUGGCAUCCCUAUCUCUGAAAGUAGAAGGAUGCAAAUGAACUAAAAAUUUAAAAAAAUGAUUGAAGUCUUAAGGUGGAGUAAGACUCACAUAUUCCUACCUCCUCCCACAUGUACAUCUUGUAAAUGAGCAAUGACAUCUCUACUGUGACAGAAGACAGAAUUUUUAUCUUUUGGAGAAAAAAAAUUAAAAGAUGUCAUAUUAAGGGAGAUGGUACCAUUCCAAAAACCAGAUGAUUAAAUGAAAGUUCCAAGAUGUGUAAAGAAUUUGAGUCCCCCCCAGUAACUGAUCCCAAGAUAAGGCAUUCACAUUAGUUUCUGUGAGGAAACUUCUAAGGAAAUCAUGUAUAAGUAAAGACCACAGAAUAAAGCUCCUCUUAUACACCCA
RNAcentral lists this long non-coding RNA (770 nucleotides) under Vulpes vulpes (red fox). RNAcentral's name for it is "lncRNA (ENSVVUG00000018610.1)". The record is from RNAcentral. Lineage: Eukaryota; Metazoa; Chordata; Mammalia; Carnivora; Canidae.